UUGAAUGUCAUAAACAAAGAAUGGAUAAAAGAGCUGCAGGAAUUCGAAGAGUGAUAUGGAUUUGCAUGCGCAAUCAACAAAAUAAAGGAAAGGUAACAAAGGUAAAGGAGGCUACAACAAUUCGACUGGUCGAAAUCAGCAAGAAGGAAAUUGGUCGAAUCAUAGAAAACCUUGGAACCAAGGAAACCAAAGAGGUGAUGUUGUAGGUAGAGGAAGAGGUGGUGGCGAAAGUCAGACAAGAGUCAUAUUCAGUGUUAUAAUUGUCAGAAGCAUGGUCACUAUUCUAG
Molecule: long non-coding RNA, 287 nt
Filed under: Lathyrus oleraceus (garden pea)
Lineage: Eukaryota; Viridiplantae; Streptophyta; Magnoliopsida; Fabales; Fabaceae
Description: Pisum sativum (pea) long non-coding RNA (PSAT_LNC019509)
Source: RNAcentral